RNAcentral lists this small RNA (886 nucleotides) under Trichurus spiralis. RNAcentral describes it as "eukaryotic LSU rRNA". It matches the Rfam family "Eukaryotic large subunit ribosomal RNA", at positions 50 to 963 of the family's 3401-position model. Lineage: Eukaryota; Fungi; Ascomycota; Sordariomycetes; Microascales; Microascaceae. The record is from RNAcentral.
GCGGAGGAAAAGAAACCAACAGGGAUUGCCUCAGUAACGGCGAGUGAAGCGGCAACAGCUCAAAUUUGAAAUCUGGUCCCCUCUGGGGGCCCGAGUUGUAAUUUGAAGAGGAUGCUUUUGGCGAGGCGCCUUCCGAGUGCCCUGGAACGGGACGCCACAGAGGGUGAGAGCCCCGUAUGGUAGGACGCCGAGCCUCUGUAAAGCUCCUUCGACGAGUCGAGUAGUUUGGGAAUGCUGCUCAAAAUGGGAGGUAAACCCCUUCUAAAGCUAAAUAUUGGCCAGAGACCGAUAGCGCACAAGUAGAGUGAUCGAAAGAUGAAAAGCACUUUGAAAAGAGAGUUAAACAGCACGUGAAAUUGUUGAAAGGGAAGCGCUUGCGACCAGACUUGCGCCCGUCGGAUCAACCGUCCCUCGUGGGCGGCGCACUCCGGCGGGCUCAGGCCAGCAUCAGUUUUCCUGGGGGUAGAAAGGCGGUGGGAAUGUAGCUCUUCGGAGUGUUAUAGCCCGCCGCGUAAUGCCCUCGGGGGGACUGAGGACCGCGCGUAUGCAAGGAUGCUGGCGUAAUGGUCGUCAGCGACCCGUCUUGAAACACGGACCAAGGAGUCGUCCUAAUAUGCGAGUGUACGGGUGUAAAACCCCUGCGCGUAAUGAAAGUGAACGGAGGUGAGAGCUUCGGCGCAUCAUCGACCGAUCCUGAUGUUCUCGGAUGGAUUUGAGUAAGAGCAUAUUGGGCCGGACCCGAAAGAAGGUGAACUAUGCCUGUAUAGGGUGAAGCCAGAGGAAACUCUGGUGGAGGCUCGCAGCGGUUCUGACGUGCAAAUCGAUCGUCAAAUAUGGGCAUGGGGGCGAAAGACUAAUCGAACCUUCUAGUAGCUGGUUUCCGCGA